UCUCAAAAUUUUUUACCUACACACUUCAAAAUACACAAAACACACACAAAUUCCUCCACCAUCCCAACCCAAUACACAAAACACACAUAAAAAAAAUUCCCUUCCCUUUGGCUUUCUUCUUCCUCUACCAUCCCAACCCAGUCCACCACCUCCGUCGCCGACCACCACUACCUCCCGCGCCAUUUUUUUUUUUUUUUUUGCCUUUCUCCCUUUCCCUGCCAUCCUCCUCCUUUAUCUAGUUUGACUGCCUUCCUCUUUUUUUUUUUGUGUGUCCCCCGCAACCCUCCCCCUCCCGCGACCAGAUCUGGUCCCAUGACCAGAUCGCAAAAGUGGAGGGAAGGGGAGCUGCGAUCUGUUCGCGCAAGGGCGACAAGGCUACUGAGGGUGACGAGGAUAGAUGAGGGGAGGAGAAAAAAGGGGUGGCCGGCAGAGGGGGUUGGCGGGGCAGAGGGAGAAGAGGGGCGGCGGGAGAGAGGGGAGGAGAAGAGGUG
RNAcentral lists this long non-coding RNA (491 nucleotides) under Coffea arabica (coffee). Its description in RNAcentral is "long non-coding RNA (CARA_LNC002624)". The record is from RNAcentral. Lineage: Eukaryota; Viridiplantae; Streptophyta; Magnoliopsida; Gentianales; Rubiaceae.